GCAUUGGAACCACCUGAUCCCAUCCCGAACUCAGAAGUGAAACGAUGCAUCGCCGAUGGUAGUGUGGGGUUUCCCCAUGUGAGAGUAGGU
This 90-nucleotide ribosomal RNA is filed under the name Pseudomonas chlororaphis subsp. aurantiaca. The record is from RNAcentral. Lineage: Bacteria; Pseudomonadati; Pseudomonadota; Gammaproteobacteria; Pseudomonadales; Pseudomonadaceae.